GUGAUCACAAGCCCUUGACUCUGAUCUGGGAUCGGCCUCUUCCCCUGGGCACACAUAGUCCGUCCUCUACAGGAGGGAGGCUACUGAGUGGGGAUAGGGGGAGGCCCACGAGUGGCCUCCCAGGAAAGCUGAGAAGACCAAGGAGAGAAGAAGCCCUGAGGUUGAUGUUGGAGGGAAGUUGACGGUGACUUCAGGACACUACCCUGCAUAGUAGUUAUCACAUCCGUGUCCACCCAAGGCCCUGAAGAUAAAGCACUUCUCUAGGGGAACACCAAGCACCCCUUACCCCUCGCUCAGAGCCAUUGUGUUCCCUCCCAAGACCCUGUCAACGGAGGGGCUGCUGUUGACUGAGGAGAGGAUGGCUGGGCCAGGCCCUGCCCCCCGACAGUGUGCCCUGAGCAGCUGUCUCUCUUACUGGUCCUGGCCACAGAACAGUUCUCUGAGUGACAAGUAACACGAUCAUCCCAACAGUCCAGGGAUCAAGAUUUGCCUCUGUGUUUUUAAGGUUUUCUUCAAACGCUUAAUAUAGUGCCCUGCAC
RNAcentral lists this long non-coding RNA (539 nucleotides) under Ornithorhynchus anatinus (platypus). Its description in RNAcentral is "lncRNA (ENSOANG00000044157.1)". The record is from RNAcentral. Lineage: Eukaryota; Metazoa; Chordata; Mammalia; Monotremata; Ornithorhynchidae.